RNAcentral lists this ribosomal RNA (945 nucleotides) under Cubamyces flavidus. Its description in RNAcentral is "Trametes flavida partial 28S ribosomal RNA". It matches the Rfam family "Eukaryotic large subunit ribosomal RNA", at positions 34 to 965 of the family's 3401-position model. The record is from RNAcentral. Lineage: Eukaryota; Fungi; Basidiomycota; Agaricomycetes; Polyporales; Polyporaceae.
CUAACAUAUCAAUAAGCGGAGGAAAAGAAACUAACAAGGAUUCCCCUAGUAACUGCGAGUGAAGCGGGAAAAGCUCAAAUUUAAAAUCUGGCGGUCUUUGGCCGUCCGAGUUGUAGUCUGGAGAAGCGUCUUCCGCGCUGGACCGUGUAUAAGUCUCUUGGAACAGAGCGUCAUAGAGGGUGAGAAUCCCGUCUUUGACACGGACUACCAGUGCUUUGUGAUGCGCUCUCAAAGAGUCGAGUUGUUUGGGAAUGCAGCUCAAAAUGGGUGGUGAAUUCCAUCUAAAGCUAAAUAUUGGCGAGAGACCGAUAGCGAACAAGUACCGUGAGGGAAAGAUGAAAAGCACUUUGGAAAGAGAGUUAAACAGUACGUGAAAUUGCUGAAAGGGAAACGCUUGAAGUCAGUCGCGUUGUCCGGGACUCAGCCUUGCUUCGGCUUGGUGCACUUUCCGGAUGACGGGCCAGCAUCGAUUUUGACCGCUGGAAAAGGGCUGGAGGAAUGUGGCACCUUCGGGUGUGUUAUAGCCUCCAGUCGCAUACGGCGGUUGGGAUCGAGGAACGCAGCACGCCUCGUGGCGGGGGGUUUACCCUACCUUCGUGCUUAGGAUGCUGGCAUAAUGGCUUUAAACGACCCGUCUUGAAACACGGACCAAGGAGUCUAACAUGCCUGCGAGUGUUUGGGUGGAAAACCCGAGCGCGUAAUGAAAGUGAAAGUUGAGACCUCUGUCGUGGAGGGCAUCGACGCCCGGACCUGACGUUCUCUGACGGAUCCGCGGUAGAGCAUGUAUGUUGGGACCCGAAAGAUGGUGAACUAUGCCUGAAUAGGGUGAAGCCAGAGGAAACUCUGGUGGAGGCUCGUAGCGAUUCUGACGUGCAAAUCGAUCGUCAAAUUUGGGUAUAGGGGCGAAAGACUAAUCGAACCAUCUAGUAGCUGGUUCCUGCCGAA